AGAGCGAACGCUGGCGGCAGGCUUAACACAUGCAAGUCGAGCGGAUGUAGCAAUACAUCAGCGGCAGACGGGAGAGGAACACGUGGGAACGCGCCCUUUGGUUCGGAAUAACUCAGGGAAACUUGAGCUAAUACCGGAUAAGCCCUUACGGGGAAAGAUUUAUCGCCAAAGGAACGGCCCGCGUCCGAUUAGCUAGUUGGUGAGGUAAUGGCUCACCAAGGCGACGAUCGGUAGCUGGUCUGAGAGGAUGACCAGCCUCACUGGGACUGAGACACGGCCCAGACUCCUACGGGAGGCAGCAGUGGGAAUAUUGGACAAUGGGCGCAAGCCUGAUCCAGCCAUGCCGCGUGAGUGAUGAAGGCCUUAGGUUGUAAAGCUCUUUAGCAGGGAAGAUAAUGACGGUACCUGCAGAAAAGCCCGGACUAACUUCGUGCCAGCAGCCGC
This 444-nucleotide ribosomal RNA is filed under the name uncultured bacterium. Its description in RNAcentral is "SSU rRNA". It matches the Rfam family "Bacterial small subunit ribosomal RNA", at positions 26 to 518 of the family's 1533-position model. The record is from RNAcentral.